GGGGUGUUAGCUCAGUGGUAGAGCAAUUGACUGCAGAUCUAUAGGUUAUCGGUUCAAAUCCGGAACGCCCCU
This 72-nucleotide transfer RNA is filed under the name Neocallimastix californiae. It matches the Rfam family "tRNA". Rfam says of the family: Transfer RNA (tRNA) molecules are approximately 80 nucleotides in length. Their secondary structure includes four short double-helical elements and three loops (D, anti-codon, and T loops). RNAcentral also lists the same sequence under 2 other names. Lineage: Eukaryota; Fungi; Neocallimastigomycota; Neocallimastigomycetes; Neocallimastigales; Neocallimastigaceae. The record is from Rfam by way of RNAcentral.